GGCCCUAUAGCUAAGCGGUUAUAGCGUGGGAUUGCAGAUCCCAAGGUCCUUGGUUCGAGUCCGAGUAGAGCCU
Molecule: transfer RNA, 73 nt
Filed under: Cryphonectria parasitica EP155
Lineage: Eukaryota; Fungi; Ascomycota; Sordariomycetes; Diaporthales; Cryphonectriaceae
Rfam family: tRNA
About the family: Transfer RNA (tRNA) molecules are approximately 80 nucleotides in length. Their secondary structure includes four short double-helical elements and three loops (D, anti-codon, and T loops). Further hydrogen bonds mediate the characteristic L-shaped molecular structure. tRNAs have two regions of fundamental functional importance: the anti-codon, which is responsible for specific mRNA codon recognition, and the 3' end, to which the tRNAs corresponding amino acid is attached (by aminoacyl-tRNA synthetases). tRNAs cope with the degeneracy of the genetic code in two manners: having more than one tRNA (with a specific anti-codon) for a particular amino acid; and 'wobble' base-pairing, i.e. permitting non-standard base-pairing at the 3rd anti-codon position.
Source: Rfam by way of RNAcentral